UGGCGUAUGGUGUAAUGGUAGCACACCAGAUUUUGGUUCUGUCAGUCAAGGUUCGAGUCCCUGUACGCCAA
This 71-nucleotide transfer RNA is filed under the name Salinivirgaceae bacterium. Its description in RNAcentral is "tRNA-Gln". It matches the Rfam family "tRNA". Rfam says of the family: Transfer RNA (tRNA) molecules are approximately 80 nucleotides in length. Their secondary structure includes four short double-helical elements and three loops (D, anti-codon, and T loops). RNAcentral also lists the same sequence under 1 other name. Lineage: Bacteria; Pseudomonadati; Bacteroidota; Bacteroidia; Bacteroidales; Salinivirgaceae. The record is from RNAcentral.